Molecule: ribosomal RNA, 301 nt
Filed under: uncultured bacterium
Lineage: Bacteria
Description: partial 16S ribosomal RNA
Rfam family: Bacterial small subunit ribosomal RNA
Source: RNAcentral
CAGUAGCCACGGUAAUACGUAGGUGGCAAGCGUUGUCCGGAAUCAUUGGGCGUAAAGGGCUCGCAGGCGGUUUCUUAAGUCUGAUGUGAAAGCCCCCGGCUCAACCGGGGAGGGUCACUGGAAACUGGGAAACUUGAGUGCAGAAGAGGAGAGUGGAAUUCCACGUGUAGCGAUGAAAUGCGUAGAGAUGUGGAGGAACACCAGUGGCGAAGGCGACUCUCUGGUCUGUAACUGACGCUGAGGAGCGAAAGCGUGGGGAGCGAACAGGAUUAGAUACCCGAGUAGUCCCUGUCUCUUAUAC